UACGUAGGGUCCAAGCGUUGUCCGGAUUCACUGGGCGUAAAGAGCGCGCAGGCGGUCGUUCAAGUCGGGUGUGAAAGCCCCCGGCUCAACUGGGGAGGGUCACUCGAUACUGAUCGACUCGAAGGCAGGAGAGGGUAGUGGAAUUCCCGGUGUAGUGGUGAAAUGCGUAGAUAUCGGGAGGAACACCAGUGGCGAAGGCGACUACCUGGCCUGUUCUUGACGCUGAGGCGCGAAAGCUAGGGGAGCAAACGGG
Molecule: ribosomal RNA, 253 nt
Filed under: uncultured bacterium
Lineage: Bacteria
Description: partial 16S ribosomal RNA
Rfam family: Bacterial small subunit ribosomal RNA
Source: RNAcentral